This 459-nucleotide ribosomal RNA is filed under the name uncultured bacterium. RNAcentral describes it as "partial 16S ribosomal RNA". It matches the Rfam family "Bacterial small subunit ribosomal RNA", at positions 338 to 795 of the family's 1533-position model. The record is from RNAcentral.
CCUACGGGUGGCAGCAGUGAGGAAUAUUGGUCAAUGGGCGCGAGCCUGAACCAGCCAAGUCGCGUGAGGGAAGACGGUCCUAUGGAUUGUAAACCUCUUUUGUCGGGGAGCAAAAGACGCCACGCGUGGCGUUCCGAGAGUACCCGAAGAAAAAGCAUCGGCUAACUCCGGGCCAGCAGCCGCGGUAAGACGGAGGAUGCGAGCGUUAGCCGGAUGUAUUGGGUUUAAAGGGUGCGCAGGCGGAAGAUCAAGUCAGCGGUAAAAUUGAGAGGCUCAACCUCUUCGAGCCGUUGAAACUGGUUUUCUUGAGUGAGCGAGAAGUAUGCGGAAUGCGUGGUGUAGCGGUGAAAUGCAUAGAUAUCACGCAGAACUCCGAUUGCGAAGGCAGCAUACCGGCGCUCAACUGACGCUCAUGCACGAAAGUGUGGGUAUCGAACAGGAUUAGAUACCCGGGUAGUC